This is a long non-coding RNA of Zophobas morio, 374 nucleotides long. RefSeq lists it as uncharacterized. The record is from RefSeq and is a predicted model, not a curated record. The transcript has 5 exons. NCBI's taxonomy places the organism in Eukaryota, Metazoa, Arthropoda, Insecta, Coleoptera, Tenebrionidae.
GUUUUUCAAAGUGAAAUAUUAGUAUUGAUAAGCGACUUAGGAAAAAUUGAAUGGCCAGAAGAAUUUCCCAAUUUCUUUACAUUUAUACUAGAACAACUCCAAAGUAAAUCUUCUGAACUUUUGGGCUUAAAACUUCUGAAAACUUUUGUGGAAGAGGUCAUGUGCCCUCGAAAAGACAUAGUUAAUAGCCGCAGACUUGUGCUAUUGAAAACUUUGCUUCAUGCUCAGUACCCAAUUUGCUUCCAUAUUCUUUCUGAGAAGCUUACUACUGCACUUGCAGGAAAUAAAAAAAGUAACUACGAAAACUCCUUUGGGAGUCUUCCGGGCUCUCCGCAUUCUUCUCCUGAAGUUUCUGGAGUUUUUUCCGUUCCGAA